CCUGGCUCAGGAUGAACGCUGGCGGCGUGCUUAACACAUGCAAGUCGAACGAUGAAGCCCAGCUUGCUGGGUGGAUUAGUGGCGAACGGGUGAGUAACACGUGAGUAACCUGCCCUUAACUCUGGGAUAAGCCUGGGAAACUGGGUCUAAUACCGGAUAGGAGCGCCCACCGCAUGGUGGGUGUUGGAAAGAUUUAUCGGUUUUGGAUGGACUCGCGGCCUAUCAGCUUGUUGGUGAGGUAAUGGCUCACCAAGGCGACGACGGGUAGCCGGCCUGAGAGGGUGACCGGCCACACUGGGACUGAGACACGGCCCAGACUCCUACGGGAGGCAGCAGUGGGGAAUAUUGCACAAUGGGCGCAAGCCUGAUGCAGCGACGCCGCGUGAGGGAUGACGGCCUUCGGGUUGUAAACCUCUUUCAGUAGGGAAGAAGCGAAAGUGACGGUACCUGCAGAAGAAGCACCGGCUAACUACGUGCCAGCAGCCGCGGUAAUACGUAGGGUGCGAGCGUUAUCCGGAAUUAUUGGGCGUAAAGAGCUCGUAGGCGGUUUGUCGCGUCUGUCGUGAAAUGUCCGGGGCUUAACCCCGGAUCUGCGGUGGGUACGGGCAAACUAAAGUGCAGUAGGGGAGACUGGAAUUCCUGGUGUAGCGGUGGAAUGCGCAGAUAUCAGGAGGAACACCGAUGGCGAAGGCAGGUCUCUGGGCUGUAACUGACGCUGAGGAGCGAAAGCAUGGGGAGCGAACAGGAUUAGAUACCUUGGUAGUCCAUGCCGUAAACGUUGGGCACUAGGUGUGGGGACCAUUCCACGGUUUCCGCGCCGCAGCUAACGCAUUAAGUGCCCCGCCUGGGGAGUACGGCCGCAAGGCUAAAACUCAAAGGAAUUGACGGGGGCCCGCACAAGCGGCGGAGCAUGCGGAUUAAUUCGAUGCAACGCGAAGAACCUUACCAAGGCUUGACAUGUUCUCGAUCGCCGUAGAGAUACGGUUUCCCCUUUGGGGCGGGUUCACAGGUGGUGCAUGGUUGUCGUCAGCUCGUGUCGUGAGAUGUUGGGUUAAGUCCCGCAACGAGCGCAACCCUCGUUCCAUGUUGCCAGCACGUAAUGGUGGGGACUCAUGGGAGACGCCGGGGUCAACUCGGAGGAAGGUGAGGACGACGUCAAAUCAUCAUGCCCCUUAUGUCUUGGGCUUCACGCAUGCUACAAUGGCCGGUACAAUGGGUUGCGAUACUGUGAGGUGGAGCUAAUCCCAAAAAGCCGGUCUCAGUUCGGAUUGGGGUCUGCAACUCGACCCCAUGAAGUCGGAGUCGCUAGUAAUCGCAGAUCAGCAACGCUGCGGUGAAUACGUUCCCGGG
RNAcentral lists this ribosomal RNA (1350 nucleotides) under Micrococcus sp. RNAcentral describes it as "bacterial SSU rRNA". It matches the Rfam family "Bacterial small subunit ribosomal RNA", at positions 18 to 1378 of the family's 1533-position model. The record is from RNAcentral. Lineage: Bacteria; Bacillati; Actinomycetota; Actinomycetes; Micrococcales; Micrococcaceae.